GAAGGUAUAGCUCAGUGGUAGGGUACAUGCUUAGCAUGCAUGAGAUCCUGGAUUCAAUCCUCAGUACAUCCA
This is a transfer RNA of Camelus ferus (Wild Bactrian camel), 72 nucleotides long. It matches the Rfam family "tRNA". From Rfam's summary of the family: Transfer RNA (tRNA) molecules are approximately 80 nucleotides in length. Their secondary structure includes four short double-helical elements and three loops (D, anti-codon, and T loops). Lineage: Eukaryota; Metazoa; Chordata; Mammalia; Artiodactyla; Camelidae. The record is from Rfam.